Molecule: long non-coding RNA, 6643 nt
Organism: Cataglyphis hispanica
Lineage: Eukaryota; Metazoa; Arthropoda; Insecta; Hymenoptera; Formicidae
Exons: 3
Source: RefSeq, a predicted model, not a curated record
UUGACUAUUUUAUUACGCGUCCUCAAGCCGAAUCAUAUUUAAAUUAUCAAAAAUCGAAUAACGACACUUCCGCACUUUCGAUCGAACUUCGUUUCACACGAAAAUCGUACUGCGAGUCGACAAGUACUACUUUAUUGCUCGAGUGUUGCUGUAUGAAUGAUAACAAGGCUAUAAGUCGUAAGACGUUAACAAUAGCGCGCUAAUGUUUACAUCGCCAAGGCCGAAUACAAUGUUACUGUUUUCGCGGCCGAAAAUAUGUUGCGUAUUAUAACGUAUAUAUGGUGUGGAAUAUUAAAUAAUAUAAAUAUUUUAAAUUAUAGCUUAAUUAUUUAAUAAACGAUUAAUAUAUCAUGGAGCUUAUUAUUAUAUUAAUUAUUAUUUGAACUUGCGAUUUGACUAUUUUAUUACGCGUCCUCAAGCCGAAUCAUAUUUAAAUUAUAAAAAAUCGAAUAACGACACUCCCGCAUUUUCGGCACGAUCGAACCUCGUUUCACACGAGAAUCUACUGCGAGUCGACAAGUACUACUUUAUUGCUCGAGCGUUGUUGUAUGAAUGAUAACAAGACUAUAAGUCGUAAGACAUUAAUAAUAGCGCGCUAAUGUUUACAUCGUCAAGGUCGUGUACCAUGUUAUGUUUUGAUUAUUCGUUGCCGAAAUAUUUUUCGUAUUAUGAUGUAUAUACAAACGGAAUAUUAAAUUAUACAUGUAUUUUAAAUUAUAAAUCAAUUAUUAAGUUAUCAAUUAAUAUAUUACGGAGUACCUCAGUGUUCGAGAUCCAUUAUGGUGGUAAAUAUAUAGUAUACUUCACGCACGGCAUCUUGCAAAACGUGCAAAAUAUUACAACACUAAAUUUUAAUUGAUCAUUAGUGAUGUUCGAGAAUACGAUGAUCUGCAAUCUAUAAUCGGCUUGCAAAUACCGCGCGACAUAUCGCGGCGCGCGCUCGAGGCGAGACAGUUGACAUGUCGUCAUUGCGCACGCAUCGCUGCGAGCCGUCGGCGCCCAAUCGAGGGCGGCCUUUUCGCGACCGAGCGAAAAGGCGUGAUCCAAUAAACACCGUCGCCCUUCUCGAAGAAUCCAAAGACAAAAUCGCGAUAAAUAAGUCGUACAAAAACUGGCGGCGGAAGUACGCAAAUUUCGGGAAUCUUCUAGAUCCUUCGAGAAGGAGGCGACGUUAUAAAAAUGAGCCGACGACCGAGCUCGACUCAGUCCGCAAAGAACAAUCGACGCGUGUACACUGUUCGCGUCAUUUCAAAAUCUCUGCAGUUCGCCGUAUGAAAUAGAUUUAUUUCAAUGCCGUUGCGUGUGAUUACCGGAUAUAAUUCGAGACAGACGAUUUUUCGCUGUUCGCCGUGCGUAAAUUAUGCUUUUGUUCGUACAUUUCUUUGAAAAUAACAGCAUAUUGUAUUCGUCCUAAGAAUUAUACAGCCUUGAUAUUCGAACGCUUGUCGACUAGUCGCCCGGCUCAUUACGCGUACUAACUUUCCGCGGCACGCUCGCUUGCACGUCCACAUCACAUUUGCGCACAUUUGCUGAUCCUUCGAGCCGGAUCUCUUGCUAUCUGGUGCCUGUGUGUGGAGUGAGUGCAAUGGGGAUCUUCGUCGGAGCUUCUCCGGACAUCACACUUGAAAACCAAAAUUAGUAAGGACACGGACUCAACUGUACGAUUGCAGUUGGAGCUAUACGGGCGCAUUGCACACUUAUAUGAAAAUCUGGGUUCGUCAACAUAACGAUCGGACUGGCGGAGGCACACCUGUAAGCCCUGGAGGCCAACUGGGUGAAAUUUGAAUACCAGCACGACAAGCUCGUCACUUCCUGCGCGAUACCGACUACGUCAAAAAGGACUUGCAAGCGGUGGCAGAAGAAGCUUAUCUCAUCCCGAAAGGCAUGUUCCUGGAUACGCUUCACCGCCUCAGGUCCAGGAAAAAGCCGAGACUCCCGCUGCUGGAACAUCUUCGUCGCAACCGCAGUGAACGACUCUGCCAAGGAUUCAGCUUCCUCAGUUCUCCGGAUUGUACAAAGAUUGGCCAUAGUUCCGAGACCUUUUUCACUCUCUUAUCGGGAAGGAUGAAUCGGCCAGCAACAUCGAAAACCUCCACUAUCUCAAGGCAUGCCUGAAAGGAGAAGCGGAGCUCCUUAUUCGCAGUCUACCCACGACAGGCGAGAAUUUCAAUCGUGCGUGGAAAGUUCUCACGGACUUCUACGAGAACAAGCGCCUGCUCGUGCGAUCGUACAUAGCGAGGUUCAUGGCAAUCCAACAGAUAAAGGUCGAGUGCGAAUUUACGCAAUCUUUACCACGGUGUGUUGAGUACCAUCGGCUCGCUCGAGAGCAUUGGACGAUCGAUAACGAGCGGCGAGGAUCUGUUUGUCCACCUCGUGGUCGAUCUCUUGGACUCCCGAUCCCGUCGCGAAUGGGAGAGCGCUAUUAGUGAUACGACGAAUCCGCCGUCGUACGCGGAGCUAAUCCAAGAAGUUUCUCGACCGACGGCUGCACACUCUCGAAUCGCUGCAACCGUCCAAGCCGGAAACGAGUUCCAAACCGCGAAACCAGGCGCAACUUCCGGACGUUCGCGUGUUGUUUACGUCCAGAAACCAGAAAGCAAAUGCGGACAUGUAGCUUGUGACACCAAAAACACUACAUCAUGUUCUGCGACGCGUAUAAGUCAAAAACGGCAUUGGAGAGACGGCAGCACAUCGAAAGGAACCAGUUGUGCUUCAACUGUCUCGGGAAGCACAACUAAGGUCAGUGAGUGCCCGUCGAAGAAGACGUGUUCGAUGUGCGGCGCGCGUCAUCACUCGACCCUCAACGACGCGUGCACCUCCAUUGAAGUAGCCAGAACUUCGCUUUCCGCAAACCGAGUUCGGAAAGCCGCGCCGGCAGUGCUCUUCGCGGCCGCGCGUGUUCGCGUAGCCGACAAAUUCGACGUCCUCCACACUACACGGGCCCUCAUCGAUCAGGGCUCCGAAAUAUCGAUCAUCGAUCAGUCGCUAGCCCAACGACUGCAACUUGCUCGGACUCCUAGCGGGAGAGAAGGCCGACCGGCUCGUCCAAUGUGCUGUAUUCUAGCAUGGCCUUGAACGCUGACUUGACAAGGAAGUGCCUCGGAGUCAAGGCCACCAGAUCUUCGGGGUCGUCCGAUAAGGCCUGCAAUGGCGUGGAGUUGAGACAGGCUUCUAUCUGCGUGAGGAGAGUGUUCAUCUCCUCAUAAAUGAGCGUCGACUCUCUCAGCACUCUCCUGAGAUGGUGUUUGCACGACUUCACCGCAGCUUCCCAGAGACCGCUGAAGAUGGAUUGAAGCACCACUGUAUCCGUUCGUUAGCCAUAUGGUCCGCGAUCUUCUGCUACUCCGGGCUGCUGGUGGUGAAGAACGCUCGGAGUUGAGCGACUGCCCCGACGAAGUUCGUGCCGCAGUCUCUAUGAAGGCUCCAACUGAGCCUUCGCCUGGCGGUAAAUCGCCGCAAGGCAGCCAAGCACGCGUUCGCCGGACGCGACUUCCAGAUGCAUGGCUUUCGUGCUGAGACACAUGAAAACCGUGAUGAAGGUCUUGUGCGCGCGAUGUCCGCGCCCCUUCGUGCAGGUGGAUCGGGCCGACGUAAUUUACCCCGAUGUGCAGAAAUGGCCUCGCUGGAGUGACCCGAAGAAGAGGCAGAUCCCCCAUGAUCUGCUGCUGAGUGACCGCCCGCCAUCGGACGCAACGACAGAUCACGGCCUUAACCAGCUGGCGCCCGCGAGAAAUCCAAUACCGUUGUCGGACAGACCCGAGGGUGAGCUGGACUCCUCCGUGCAAUGUACGUUGGUGACAGGCUUUGACGAUGAGCCGCGUGGGAUGCGAAGUGGGAUGCGUUCGGCACGAUCACCGAGUGCUUCUCGUCGUAGGCCAGGAGGGCAUGUUUGAUCCGCCCACCAACCUUGAAGAUGCUUUGCGAGUCUACGAACGGAUCUGCACCACUCUGAUCCAGGCCGAGCAAGCGUCGUCGCACUCGGAGGCCGACAUUCUUGGCCGGGGGCUGGCUUACCGUAGCGAGGAGAGGCUGCUGAAACGCGAGUCUCAGCGACAACCCCGAAGAUCUGGUGGCCUUGACUCCGAGGCACUUCCUUGCCAGACGCUCCACCGCUUACACCAGGCGAUCACCUGCAGCAGACGGUGUAGCGAAGAAAAACGAAUCAGCUCCUCGGGCUCGGUCUCUUCCAUUUGCGGCGCAGUGGCAUGCGCCCUGAUGCGCUCGUCCAGCAAGUCCGUAGCGGACGCAUCCUCGUUGGUCGACGGCCUGAUGCUGAGUCCUCUGACAGCCAGGGUGAACCUGUCCACCAGAGCGGAUGAUCGAUCAGCUCGCUCGGGGAGAUUCCUCUCGACGCUCAGUCGGCAGGGUUCUCCGUCCCCGGGAGAUGAUGCCACUGUGCUCCUGGCAAGGUUGACUGGAUUUCGGCGACUCAGUUAGCGACGUACAUCUUCCAGUGCGACAGGUUGCCUCGAAUCCAGCCUAGCGCGACCGUGGAAUCGGACCAUAGAUGGAUGGGCGCGUCCAUCGCUCCGAGAAUCCUCCUGACAUUGUGCUGGGGCACAUGAGAUGAAGGACUGCAAGAAUAGGGAUCAACUGUGGUUUAAAGGUCAGGAGGAUAUCUUGUGCACGAGAUAAUGGUGUCAGAAUUGAGGCAUUCUCUCCUGACAUUAAAAAGAUCAAGGCUCACCCUGGCCUUGCGGAUGCUGGAUUGACAGUGCGUAAGAACAGGAAAUUGAAUCCGAGGCUUAUAAUACAUGGAGUUCCUGCCGAUAUGUCGGCUAAAGAGAUUGAGGAUGAGCUGACAUGGACCAUUAACCUCGUGGAGAGGGAGGAGAGAGCUCCGCGCAGAGCUCCAAGCGAGAUCUCCGACCAUGCAUAGACGACUGCGGCGUAGACUCGCUCGGACGCAUCCGCGAAGCCGAGCAAUUCGACUCGCGCGCCUGAAGCAAGAGGUGCGCCUGAGGUGCACGUAGCGAGGGACGCGAAUUUCCUCCAGAUUGGGGAAGUCGGCCCGGUACUUGCUCCACGCUUGUGUGUCGAUCUCGUCCAGUGGCGAAUCCCAGUCGCGCCUUUGCAAUCACGUGGAUUGGAAUUGAAUCUUCGCUUGGAUCACGGUCGGAGCUAGCCAGUCUAUUAGCGUGUACGAGUAUGUAUAAAAUAUAAGAAUUAGGACAUCUAAAAAAAAUCACAAUCUUAAUCAAGAGAUUUCAAAGAUGUUUGCAAAUUGGUUGGAGCAAUAUUAUAAAUCUAAAAGAAAAAAAGUGUGCAAAAUAUGUGACGAAAAUUGUAUACACGAAAACUCUUAUAUGUUUAUGAUACAUAUAAUGAAUAAGCAUAAAAUUGAAACAACUAAAUUUAGCUAACAUAUCAAGAUUAGCAAUAUAUCGCCACAUUUUUUACAAUCGCGACAUUUUUUAUAAUUUUUUUUUUAUUUAGCCAUAAACUAUUUUUGUCUAAAUUUGUUUUAUUAAUUUAUAUAUUCUUUAGAAUCUGUAUAAUUAUUAUUUAACAUGUCAUAUACGGAAAGUAACUGAACAAAUAUACAUGGAGCAUACCAUCAAAUGCAAGACAAUAAUCCAAAUCGAAAAGUCCUGAACUAUUUUUUAAUCUUACAAUCAAUUUACUUUUUGUUGUUAUACGAUGUUGAAGUUAAUUAAUCAGCACCUAUAUACAGCAAAAAGCCUUCUUGAUACUUCGACACUCGCCAUACCUUCCUUGUUUUCUGCUGUAGAGACUAAUUGGUUAUUAACUUUAAUAUCAUAUAAUAACUAAAAAAAAACUCAGAUCAAAAAAUAGUUUAGAACUUUUUGAUCUGGAUUGUUGUCUUGUACCUGAUGUACUCCAUGCAUGUUCAAUUAUCCUGUAUAAUGCGUAUUAAAUAUAUCUAAAUAAUAAAAAUUAUGAUCCCCGUUUUUUUUUUAUUUAAAAUUAUAAUUAUCGUUAAAUUUUAUAUUUUUCUUAUUUUAUUAUUAAUAAGUUAUUAAUAAUUAUUUCUCUAACAAAAAAUGGAAGAUAAAUUUUAUUUAUUUUAUUGUGUUAAUAUAAAUAUUUUUAUUCUAAUUUGUUUUGUUAUUUGGAUUUAUUGCGCAAAAAUGCAUAUAUUGCAAGCGAAUAAGAAAAUUCGACGACUGAACAUUUGCGAGCGGCGAGUGUUUUUGUGAUCGCUCAGUGUCUAUCUCUAUUCUCUAUCCCCACGCACGAAUUUUGACUACACGUACACGCGAUGACGUAGCGUUAUGUCUGGUUAGUAAGCUCCUGACCACUUCACUUAUAUGAUAAGUCGCUGGAUAGAGUUCUUAUUUCUACCGCAGCAUUCUUAUUCCUAUGUCGCCACCGGCAACUCAGAGUUCCGCGGCGACUACUCAGGAGUCUUAAGGGGAUCCUUAAGUGACUGGCGAACUCCGAUGGGUUAGCGCCCUCAUCUAAACGUAACUAAAAUUGCCGAUAAUACCGGCAUUUGUAGUUCCGCUAUUAUCGAUAGUAUUCAAUUAAUUUAAACAUGCAUAAUAGAAGAUGCAAUUUUUGCAUUGUGUUCCAUAUAUUCAAAUGAGAAUAUUACAAUAUAUUUUUACUGCUUUAUUUAUCGUCUAGCAUAUGUAUCCAAACACGCACACGCUCAAGCACAUGCACACACAUAUAAUGA